GGGAAUCUUCGGCAAUGGGCGAAAGCCUGACCGAGCAACGCUGCGUGAAUGAAGAAGGCCUUCGGGUUGUAAAAUUCUGUUAUAAGGGAAGAAAGGUGAUAGGAGGAAAUGACUAUCAAUUGACGGUACCUUAUGAGAAAGCCACGGCUACCUACGUGCCAGCAGCCGCGGUAAUACGUAGGUGGCAAGCGUUAUCCGGAAUUACUGGGCGUAAAGGGUGCGUAGGUGGUUUCUUAAGUCAGAGGUGAAAGGCUACGGCUCAACCGUAGUAAGCCUUUGAAACUGGGAAACUUGAGUGCAGGAGAGGAGAGUGGAAUUCCUAGUGUAGCGGUGAAAUGCGUAGAUAUUAGGAGGAACACCAGUGGCGAAAGCGGCUCUCUGGUCUGUAACUGACGCUGAGGUUCGAAAGCGUGGGUAGCA
Molecule: ribosomal RNA, 420 nt
Filed under: uncultured bacterium
Lineage: Bacteria
Description: bacterial SSU rRNA
Rfam family: Bacterial small subunit ribosomal RNA
Source: RNAcentral